This 28-nucleotide non-coding RNA is filed under the name Cricetulus griseus (Chinese hamster). Lineage: Eukaryota; Metazoa; Chordata; Mammalia; Rodentia; Cricetidae. The record is from RNAcentral.
UAAGGGUACAAUGAGGCUGCACUGAUGG